GCAAGUCGAGCCGUAUUGUUUCUUCCGAAACCGAGAGAACCGCCGCACGGGUGCGGGACACGUGUGCAACCUGCCUUUAUCUGGGGGAUAGCCUUUCGAAAGGAAGAUUAAUACCCCAUAAUAUUUUGAAUGGCAUCAUUUAAAAUUGAAAACUCCGGUGGAUAGAGAUGGGCACGCGCAAGAUUAGAUAGUUGGUAGGGUAACGGCCUACCAAGUCAGUGAUCUUUAGGGGGCCUGAGAGGGUGAUCCCCCACACUGGUACUGAGACACGGACCCAACUCCUACGGGAGGCAGCAGUGAGGAAUAUUGGACAAUGGGUGAGAGCCUGAUCCAGCCAUCCCGCGUGACGGACGACGGCCCUAUGGGUUGUAAACUUCUUUUGUACAGGGAUAAACCUUUCCACGUGUGGAAAGCUGAAGGUACUGUACGAAUAAGCACCGGCUAACUCCGUG
This 452-nucleotide ribosomal RNA is filed under the name uncultured bacterium. RNAcentral describes it as "bacterial SSU rRNA". It matches the Rfam family "Bacterial small subunit ribosomal RNA", at positions 57 to 507 of the family's 1533-position model. The record is from RNAcentral.